Molecule: transfer RNA, 73 nt
Filed under: Giardia muris
Lineage: Eukaryota; Fornicata; Diplomonadida; Hexamitidae
Rfam family: tRNA
About the family: Transfer RNA (tRNA) molecules are approximately 80 nucleotides in length. Their secondary structure includes four short double-helical elements and three loops (D, anti-codon, and T loops). Further hydrogen bonds mediate the characteristic L-shaped molecular structure. tRNAs have two regions of fundamental functional importance: the anti-codon, which is responsible for specific mRNA codon recognition, and the 3' end, to which the tRNAs corresponding amino acid is attached (by aminoacyl-tRNA synthetases). tRNAs cope with the degeneracy of the genetic code in two manners: having more than one tRNA (with a specific anti-codon) for a particular amino acid; and 'wobble' base-pairing, i.e. permitting non-standard base-pairing at the 3rd anti-codon position.
Source: Rfam by way of RNAcentral
GCCCUCGUGGCGUAAUGGAUAGCGCGUCUGACUCCUAAUCAGAAGGUUCCGAGUUCGACUCUCGGCGAGGGUG